GUCCACGCCCUAAACGAUGCUGACUAGUUGUUCGGGAAUUUAUUCCUGAGUAACGUAGCUAACGCGUGAAGUCAGCCGCCUGGGAGUACGGUCGCAAGAUUAAACUCAAGGAAUUGACGGGACCCGCACAAGCGGUGGAUGAUGUGGAUUAAUUCGAUGCAACGCGAAACCUUACCUACCCUUGACAUGCCACUAACGAAGUAAGAUACAUUAGGUGCCCGUAAGGGAAGUGGACACAGGUGCUGCAUGGCUGUCGU
RNAcentral lists this ribosomal RNA (257 nucleotides) under uncultured bacterium. RNAcentral's name for it is "partial 16S ribosomal RNA". It matches the Rfam family "Bacterial small subunit ribosomal RNA", at positions 793 to 1055 of the family's 1533-position model. The record is from RNAcentral.